GCCGUCGCCACGCCUUUUAGUAUGUCUAGCUAAGCACCACAUUUUGAGCCGCGGACAUGUGAGUUUGCCAUGGGGCCUCCGCCCCCCCCCCACGCUUUUGGACUUGGCAGCCGCCAGCCAGCCUAGCCUUAUUUCUAUCAGCAUGUGAAUAGUAGUGUAUAUUUGCAGGGUAUCCAGGUUAGGUUAAGUUCAUUCUUUCUCUAGUUUUCCAUUUUUUUUCUCUCAUUUUCUCUCAGGUUUUUCGCCCUUUUCCCCAUAAAAGGUCGUGGUCCCUCGUGCCAUUUUCUUUGCCAUUUAGCCGCUGUUUCUCACCCCUUCAUUUUUCCCUCAUGCCAUUUAGGGGGUCGAGCAGGGGCCGCAGUCCCCCCAAGUUCGAUUUUCCUCAACGCCUGACAUUUUUUUUCCCGUGAUUGUUCUUGAUGACAUUACUGAGCGUUUCGCACGGAAGUAUGAAAUUCUACGAUUAACGAGUAAUCGGCUUUCUC
RNAcentral lists this long non-coding RNA (485 nucleotides) under Bemisia tabaci. Its description in RNAcentral is "lncRNA ENSSSA2NGG005119". The record is from RNAcentral. Lineage: Eukaryota; Metazoa; Arthropoda; Insecta; Hemiptera; Aleyrodidae.